AGGGUGGGCCUUUAGCCCAAAUUCUUCAAUUUUUCGAUCUGUUGCUUCUUUCAGCUUCGGGACCUGUUCGUCGACUUUUAUAGCUGGCUGACUCGGAUAAAAAUAGAAUUGGGCCUCCAUGGCCCAAAGGAAAAUGCAAGGAGAGGGUCCAUAGAACCCGGACAGAUUUCACAUGCAAACACAAAAAUGGAAAUUUAGUAAGUAAGGGUCAAAUAAAACAGAAUUUAUAUGCUACCAUAUUCUAAAUUUUAUAUACUACCAUAUUCUAGCACUUACAUACCACCAUAUUCUAAUAUCUAUC
This 301-nucleotide long non-coding RNA is filed under the name Solanum tuberosum (potato). RNAcentral's name for it is "long non-coding RNA (STUB_LNC011226)". Lineage: Eukaryota; Viridiplantae; Streptophyta; Magnoliopsida; Solanales; Solanaceae. The record is from RNAcentral.